Molecule: RNA transcript, 1846 nt
Organism: Mangifera indica (mango)
Lineage: Eukaryota; Viridiplantae; Streptophyta; Magnoliopsida; Sapindales; Anacardiaceae
Gene name: pyruvate dehydrogenase E1 component subunit beta-3, chloroplastic
Exons: 5
Source: RefSeq, a predicted model, not a curated record
UUCUUCAAUAAAAUAGCCGAAUAAACGCUACCAGAGCAACGUGAAAGAAAUCACAAACAGAGACUCGCCUCAAUUUCUCCGCCCAUUUUUCUUUCGUUUUUUCAAUACAAAUUUAAACCAUUUUCAUUCUUUGUUCCUUGCACUCUGAAACAAGCAGCUCUCUCUAUAUUCUGUGAAUCCAAUGGCUGCGAUUUUCCAGGGAAUAGCAGCUGCCACUGCUUUAUCACCGUCCAAUUGCUUCGAUUCCAAGAAGCUUCCGCUUCCUUCUCGCAGAUCUCUCUCAGGAAGAAAAGCGAGCUUCGUCGUUGGCAGAUCUGAUGGAAGCGCAAAUUUUGGUUCGAGUUCGAUAUCUCAGAAGGCUCAAAAGCUGAUUACUAAUGCAGUUGCAACUAAACAUGAUUCUGCGGCUUCUACUUCUGCCUCGAAGUCUGGGCAUGAGCUCUUACUUUUUGAAGCUUUGCGAGAAGGCUUGGAAGAGGAAAUGGACAGAGAUCCUAAUGUAUGUGUCAUGGGUGAAGAUGUGGGUCACUAUGGAGGCUCGUACAAAGUGACAAAGGGCCUGGCUGACAAGUAUGGGGAUCUUAGGGUUCUUGACACUCCUAUUGCUGAGAAUUCCUUCACUGGUAUGGGCAUUGGAGCUGCCAUGACUGGCCUGAGGCCAAUCAUUGAGGGAAUGAACAUGGGAUUUCUCCUUUUGGCAUUUAACCAGAUCUCCAACAAUUGUGGAAUGCUUCACUAUACUUCUGGUGGCCAAUUUAAAAUACCAGUUGUUAUUCGUGGACCCGGUGGAGUUGGUCGACAACUUGGUGCUGAGCAUUCUCAACGCCUGGAGUCAUAUUUUCAAUCAAUCCCGGGAAUUCAAAUGGUAGCAUGUUCAACCCCAUAUAAUGCCAAGGGCCUGAUGAAAGCUGCUAUCCGGAGUGAUAACCCAGUGAUACUUUUUGAGCAUGUUUUGCUUUAUAAUCUCAAAGAGAGGAUCCCAGAUGAAGAAUACAUUUGUAAUCUUGAGGAAGCUGAAAUGGUUAGGCCUGGGGAGCAUGUCACUAUUCUUACCUAUUCCCGAAUGAGGUAUCACGUGAUGCAGGCUGCCAAAACCUUAGUUAACAAGGGGUAUGAUCCCGAAGUUAUUGAUAUUAGGUCACUGAAACCAUUUGAUCUUUACACCAUUGGCAAUUCAAUUAAAAAGACACAUCGUGUGCUGAUCGUGGAGGAGUGCAUGCGGACUGGUGGAAUUGGUGCUAGCUUAACUGCUGCUAUUACCGAGAAUUUCCAUGAUUACUUGGAUGCUCCUAUUGUGUGCCUAUCUUCUCAAGAUGUGCCAACUCCAUAUGCUGGUACAUUGGAGGAAUGGACUGUUGUUCAACCUGCCCAGAUUGUGACAGCAGUUGAACAAUUAUGCCAAUAGUCUCAAUAGCAGCUGUAGUUAUGGCUUAGUUGGCAUUGUGGUAACCCUGUCUUCUCUGUAUGCAGAUUUCACCCUUGCUUUUUGUUCCGGUUAAGACUUGUUGGAUGCUGCAGCAAGGACAGCAGCGUUACAUUCCAAUUUUCUGGAUCAACUGUUACUUCCCCAAAAUCCAGAAACUAGUAUGUUAUUGUUUCUUCAUUUUUGCUUUUGUUUGUACAAGAUUUGUCUGGAAUUAUCGAAACCAUCUAGUCUUGAGAAUAACUAUGGCUUAUUACCUUUUGUAUUGAGGAAAUUUAGAGAAUAGUUUUUACCAUGUUGUACUAGGAAAUGUUCUCUCCUCCAGUCAACUUACAAUAUUUAGAAGUAUGCUUCAAAUUUUAUCAAGUAACACAAGUUGUUUGUUGAUUUGUCCGAUGAUAUAUGCAUGGAACAUUGGCUGAA